This 468-nucleotide ribosomal RNA is filed under the name uncultured bacterium. Its description in RNAcentral is "partial 16S ribosomal RNA". It matches the Rfam family "Bacterial small subunit ribosomal RNA", at positions 28 to 507 of the family's 1533-position model. The record is from RNAcentral.
GACGAACGCUGGCGGCGUGCUUAACACAUGCAAGUCGAACGGAAAGGCCCUGCUUUUGUGGGGUGCUCGAGUGGCGAACGGGUGAGUAACCCGUGAGUCACCUGCCCUUGACUUUGGGAUAACUUCAGGCAACUGGGGCUAAUACCGGAUAGGAGCUCCUGCUGCAUGGUGGGGUUUGGAAAGUUUCGGCGGUUGGGGAUGGACUCGCGGCUUAUCAGCUUGUUGGUGGGGUAGUGGCUUACCAAGGCUUUGACGGGUGGCCGGCCUGAGAGGGUGACCGGCCACAUUGGGACUGAGAUACGGCCCAGACUCCUACGGGAGGCAGCAGUGGGGAAUAUUGCACAAUGGGCGGAAGCCUGAUGCAGCAACGCCGCGUGCGUGAUGACGGCCAUCGGGUUGUAAACCGCUUUCGCCUGUGACGAAGCGUGAGUGACGGUAAUGGGUAAAGAAGCACCGGCUAACUACGUG